RNAcentral lists this ribosomal RNA (721 nucleotides) under uncultured bacterium. RNAcentral describes it as "bacterial SSU rRNA". It matches the Rfam family "Bacterial small subunit ribosomal RNA", at positions 669 to 1390 of the family's 1533-position model. The record is from RNAcentral.
CCAUGUGUAGCGGGGAAAUGCGUAGAUAUAUGGAGGAACACCAGUGGCGAAGGCGGCUCUCUGGUCUGUAACUGACGCUGAGGCUCGAAAGCGUGGGGAGCGAACAGGAUUAGAUACCCUGGUAGUCCACGCCGUAAACGAUGAGUGCUAAGUGUUGGAGGGUUUCCGCCCUUCAGUGCUGCAGCAAACGCAUUAAGCACUCCGCCUGGGGAGUACGACCGCAAGGUUGAAACUCAAAGGAAUUGACGGGGGCCCGCACAAGCGGUGGAGCAUGUGGUUUAAUUCGAAGCAACGCGAAGAACCUUACCAGGUCUUGACAUCCUUUGACCACUCUAGAGAUAGAGCUUCCCCUUCGGGGGCAAAGUGACAGGUGGUGCAUGGUUGUCGUCAGCUCGUGUCGUGAGAUGUUGGGUUAAGUCCCGCAACGAGCGCAACCCUUAUUGUUAGUUGCCAUCAUUUAGUUGGGCACUCUAGCGAGACUGCCGGUGACAAACCGGAGGAAGGUGGGGAUGACGUCAAAUCAUCAUGCCCCUUAUGACCUGGGCUACACACGUGCUACAAUGGGAAGUACAACGAGUUGCGAAGUCGCGAGGCUAAGCUAAUCUCUUAAAGCUUCUCUCAGUUCGGAUUGUAGGCUGCAACUCGCCUACAUGAAGCCGGAAUCGCUAGUAAUCGCGGAUCAGCACGCCGCGGUGAAUACGUUCCCGGGCCUUGUACACAC